MicroRNA precursor from Cynoglossus semilaevis (tongue sole), 92 nucleotides. Ensembl annotates it as microRNA 18a. Its record names the gene mir18a. The record is from Ensembl. NCBI's taxonomy places the organism in Eukaryota, Metazoa, Chordata, Actinopteri, Pleuronectiformes, Cynoglossidae.
GUACUGUCUUUGUGCUAAGGUGCAUCUAGUGCAGAUAGUGAAAUAGACUAGCACCUACUGCCCUAAGUGCUCCUUCUGGCAUAAGGGGCUGU